GAUGAACGCUGGCGGCGUGCCUAAUACAUGCAAGUCGAGCGAACGGACGAGAAGCUUGCUUUUCUGAUGUUAGCGGCGGACGGGUGAGUAACACGUGGAUAACCUACCUAUAAGACUGGGAUAACUUCGGGAAACCGGAGCUAAUACCGGAUAAUAUUUUGAACCGCAUGGUUCAAAAGUGAAAGACGGUCUUGCUGUCACUUAUAGAUGGAUCCGCGCUGCAUUAGCUAGUUGGUAAGGUAACGGCUUACCAAGGCAACGAUGCAUAGCCGACCUGAUAGGGUGAUCGGCCACACUGGAACUGAGACACGGUCCAGACUCCUACGGGAGGCAGCAGUAGGGAAUCUUCCGCAAUGGGCGAAAGCCUGACGGAGCAACGCCGCGUGAGUGAUGAAGGUCUUCGGAUCGUAAAACUCUGUUAUUAGGGAAGAACAUAUGUGUAAGUAACUGUGCACAUCUUGACGGUACCUAAUCAGAAAGCCACGGCUAACUACGUG
RNAcentral lists this ribosomal RNA (497 nucleotides) under uncultured bacterium. Its description in RNAcentral is "partial 16S ribosomal RNA". It matches the Rfam family "Bacterial small subunit ribosomal RNA", at positions 28 to 507 of the family's 1533-position model. The record is from RNAcentral.